GACGAACCGAGCGAACGUUAUUCGGAAUCACUGGGCUUAAAGCGCGUGUAGGCGGGACGGCACGUCGGUCGCUGAAAUCCCCCGGCUCAACCGGGGAACGGGCGCCGAUACGACCGCCCUGGAGGGGCGUAGGGGGACCUGGAACUUCCGGUGGAGCGGUGAAAUGCGUUGAGAUCGGAAGGAACGCCCGUGGCGAAAGCGAGGUCCUGGACGCCUACUGACGCUGAGACGCGAAAGCCAGGGGAGCGAACGGG
RNAcentral lists this ribosomal RNA (254 nucleotides) under uncultured bacterium. Its description in RNAcentral is "partial 16S ribosomal RNA". It matches the Rfam family "Bacterial small subunit ribosomal RNA", at positions 524 to 776 of the family's 1533-position model. The record is from RNAcentral.